This is a long non-coding RNA of Clupea harengus (Atlantic herring), 3338 nucleotides long. Lineage: Eukaryota; Metazoa; Chordata; Actinopteri; Clupeiformes; Clupeidae. The record is from Ensembl.
CACUGACUUCACAACUAAAUACUUGCUAUUUGAUAUGGGUUCAGAAAUGUUCAACAAUCAACAAGGCAAUCGCAGUCCAGACUGUUCUCAUUUGGGCUUUCUUGAUGGUGGGAAUGAGCUACAAAAUGCUAUCAGAGCAGGGGCAUCCUUCUCCAUCAAAAAUCUCUUUAAGACUCAUCUCUUCCGAGAACACCCCUAACAUUUUUGGACUUACCGUGCACUUCUUCUAUUUGCUCUUGAGUUGUUCCUCAACUGUAAGUCAUUUUGGGUAAAAGUGUUUACCAGAUGAAUUCAUGUCAAUGUAAUGUAAUGAACUGGUAUAUAGUUAUAAAGUGACACAAAGAAAAACCUCAGACAAGGUAAAUUGAUUAUCUCACACUUUAUUGAACUGAUAAUUCAAAAAUAUGGUCACUGGCACAGCUAUAGAUGACAAAGCAAAGACUUCCUGCAUGUGACCCUUCACCCAGUUAUCAAAUCACAGAGGGCAAGUGAGUGAGUGUGUGUGUGUGUGUGUGUGUGUCUGUGCGCACGCGUGUGUGUGUGUGUGUGUGUGUGUGUGUGUGUCUGUGUGUGUGAGACAGGGAUGUGAUCUCUGAGAAGUUGAUCUGUCUCACCUCUUGAGCCUCUUGGCAGACUGCACCAGGUAAGCAGGUAGAGUCUAUGAGGAUACUCAAGGACACACUAUCACAUGCUAAUAGCUACAUAAUACAUACAUGUACACAUAGCUUACAGUUUAAACAAUAUACACAAAUUCAGUUUAAAAUAGAAAAGAACAUAAAUGCAAACUGGGGUCUAGCACACAGACACCAUGGGAACCUUUGCCAAGACAGGCUUCUUGAGCCGAGAGGACCCUCUGCAAUCUUUUAAUGUACUUGGAGCCAGAUUGCCUGCCGCCUAGAGCCGAUCAGGUAGUCCACCUUAGCGCAUGACCGCAGAAAACCCCACGCAGGGGUCAGAGUGUGGCCUUUGGAGAGCAGCUCUGUUACAUGAGCAAAGUAGGAUGUCUUACAGAGAGAAGAUCUAAGAGGGGUGUAAUCCUGUAGACAUUGUGUGUGAGUAUAUGGACAUGUUUGUGUGUGUGGGGGGGGGGGGGGGGGGAGAGAAGAGAAAGGGAAAAAAGGAAGAAUAAAGAAACAAAGAAAGGGCGAGCUAAAUGAUUUUAAGAGAUCAUUUGUGCAUCUUUUCUUUGGAGAAAAGAUUCUUUGACUACACUGUACUCGUGGCUAGUACUCACACCUACAGAACUACUUUGUCCAUUCAAUGUCCAGUCAAUUUAAGUCAAAGUCUGGCUCUUUCCUUGACUGGGUUCCAGCGGGGCAUCUGGUAUCUAGCGAGAACAUUCCCUACCUUUGUGUUCAUCUGGCUUGGCACUUUCCAGCAGGCCACUUUUUCAUAUCCUGUUUUCGGCGCCGGCUUUUGCCCUUGAAGUGCGAUUUACGACGCGUUCGAGGGCCGGUCGGCCUCUGUGGCAUGAACGUGUGUGUGUGCGCGUGUGUGUGUGUGCGAGCGCGCCGAACUAUGACGGCUGUUUCAGGGGCACACGGCACAUUCAGCCUGAACAAACAAAACUCCACAACAACAACAAAAAAACAACAAAGGCAUUCAGACCACAAGGCAGGAGAACAAAACAAAAAAAUUAAAUAAAACAAUGAAAAUUACAAAAAAGAGAAUUUGGGCUUUGGUUCCAUGUCCAGCCAGUGUUUUUCAUCGACUUUCUGGCAGAACGCUGUGACUUAACUAAUAAACAGAAACACAUGUCACAGUCACUGUCUGAGGCCCAGGGGGACAGAGGGGGGAGGAAGAGGAAGAGAGCUAGUGAAGGAGUCGCCUAAUCCUCGUCUCUUCCUCCAUGAGCCAGAGAAGAGAGACGAGGCGAAAGGAGAGCAGAGAGGGGGAGGGACAGAGAGAGCUAGAGAGAGAGAGAGAGAGAGACAGAGAGGGAGGGAGCGAGAGAGAGAGCGAGCAAGCGAGCGAGCGAGCGACAGAGAGAGAGGGAAGGAGACAGAGAUGUAUGGAGGCUGCCGGUUCCUGUUUGCAUUGUAAAAGCAUCAUGCAGCCCCCUGCCCUACUCCGCGCCCAAAUAAGGGCAGGGUGGGAGGACGUGACCAGGGUGUGGAAUGUGGCUGAGUCAGCACGGGCCCUGCCCAGUUGCCUUUGUUUAUGCCCGAGCAAAAAUGCUCAGCCAGUUAGAGAGAUGGCCAGGCCAGCGUGAGUGAGGAGGGCAGGGUGGGUAGAGGAGAGAGAGAGAGAGAGAGAGAGAGAGAGAGAGAGAGAGAGAGAGAGAGAGAGGGGUGGGUGGGAGAGAUGGAUGGGUUGUGUCUGAUGUCAGGUCUGAUCGAGGCUCAGCGAGCAGAGAGCAGCCCUACUCUUCAGCUGCAGCUCCAUUUCCCCCAAGGCCUGGAGCCUCUCACUCCUCCAGCUCUCUGCAGCAGAGUGGGGCACCGGGGGCACUGGUGGUGGUGGUGGGGGGGUUGGAGUGGGAGGGGAGGGUGUGCAGGGAAAGAGCCAACCACAACAGUUCUUCAGCUGGCAGCUUUAGCUGGUACACAAGAACAUAAAGCUUGCCAGUGAAGAACUGCUGCGGGUCAGCCAGUGAGCACGGCCUUCCCCGGGCGACUCCAUCAUGGCCCACUCCCUGUUCUACCCCGGGCGACGCCAUCAUGGGCCACUCCCUGUCCUCUCCCGGCUACCGCUGCUGGACAGACUUACCCCUGCAGGUGGACAAGGGGAAAGGAGGGAGGGAGGGAGGGAGGGAGACAAGAAAGCGAAACACGAGUUACGACAAUGGGGCAUCAUCAUGGCUGCUUCUAAGCAGUAGUGAGAGCUAGGAGACGGCAUCAGGAAGUGCUCUGGAUUCUGUUCUUUUUUCUCUCUCAAUCCUCCCCCCUUUCACAAACACACAUACACACAUUUUGAAACUCAGUCUCUGCGGCCAUGCAGUCAGUGAGCAUUGGGUCCUAACACUCCGGCCCACUGAAACACCCCCAGAGCAGCAGAGCGCCCAUGUGACCCGCCCUGCCUCCUGGGCCCGUCCCCAGCACCAAAAUGAUAGUGGAGGCGACGGAGGACAGCCAUUGAAUGAGCAACCCCAGCUCACCCAGGUCAGCGUGUACUUAUCUCCCACCCAGAGCCACAGGCCUGUCUGGAUUUAUGGCGCUCUACUGUAGCAUUAGCCAGACAAAGGUUAGAUUGACUUUGGGGCUGAGCCUGUGUGUGUGUGACAGUGUGAGUGUGUGUGCGAUUGAGAUUCCAGUGGUGCUGGAGCUUCAUAUGAGAGAAAGAACAGACACAGGGCUUGGGCCCACCUGGUGAGACCUCAACAUCUCCCCCCCCACACA